RNAcentral lists this ribosomal RNA (131 nucleotides) under uncultured Nocardioides sp. RNAcentral's name for it is "partial 16S ribosomal RNA". It matches the Rfam family "Bacterial small subunit ribosomal RNA", at positions 376 to 521 of the family's 1533-position model. The record is from RNAcentral. Lineage: Bacteria; Bacillati; Actinomycetota; Actinomycetes; Propionibacteriales; Nocardioidaceae.
CGGAAGCCUGAUCCAGCAACGCCGCGUGAGGGAUGACGGCCUUCGGUUGUAAACCUCUUUCAGCGGGACGAAGCGCAAGUGACGGUACCCGCAGAAGAAGCACCGGCCAACUACGUGCCAGCAGCCGCGGU